UAAACGAUGAUAACUCGUUGUCGGCGAUACACAGUCGGUGACUAAGGGAAACCGAUAAGUUAUCCACCUGGGGAGUACGAUCGCAAGGUUGAAACUCAAAGGAAUUGACGGGGGCCCGCACAAGCGGAGGAGCAUGUGGUUUAAUUCGAUGAUACGCGAGGAACCUUACCUAGACUUGAACGUAGAAGUGAUUAUUUAGAAAUAGAUAAGCUAGCAAUAGACUUUUACGAGGUGCUGCAUGGUUGUCGUCAGCUCGUGCCGUGAGGUGUCAGGUUAAGUCCUAUAACGAGCGCAACCCCUACACUUAGUUGCCAGCAUGUUAUGAUGGGGACUCUAAGUGGACUGCCAGCGCAAGCUGUGAGGAAGGUGGGGAUGACGUCAAAUCAGCACGGCCCUUACGUCUAGGGCGACACACGUGCUACAAUGGUAGGUACAGAGGGCAGCUACAUAGCGAUAUGAUGCCAAUCUCAAAAGCCUAUCUCAGUUCGGAUCGGAGUCUGCAACUCGACUCCGUGAAGUUGGAUUCGCUAGUAAUCGCAGAUCAGCCAUGCUGCGGUGAAUACGUUCCCGGGCCUUGUACACACCGCCCGUCAAGCCAUGGAAGCUGGGGGUACCUGAAGUACGUGACCGCAAGGAGCGUCCUAGGGUAAAACUAGUAACUGGGGCUAAGUCGUAACAAGGUAACCGUAAAGGG
RNAcentral lists this ribosomal RNA (694 nucleotides) under uncultured bacterium. Its description in RNAcentral is "bacterial SSU rRNA". It matches the Rfam family "Bacterial small subunit ribosomal RNA", at positions 803 to 1509 of the family's 1533-position model. The record is from RNAcentral.